This 1146-nucleotide ribosomal RNA is filed under the name Salmonella enterica subsp. enterica serovar Teshie. RNAcentral describes it as "partial 23S ribosomal RNA". It matches the Rfam family "Bacterial large subunit ribosomal RNA", at positions 590 to 1655 of the family's 2925-position model. Lineage: Bacteria; Pseudomonadati; Pseudomonadota; Gammaproteobacteria; Enterobacterales; Enterobacteriaceae. The record is from RNAcentral.
UGUGUGACUGCGUACCUUUUGUAUAAUGGGUCAGCGACUUAUAUUCUGUAGCAAGGUUAACCGUAUAGGGGAGCCGUAGGGAAACCGAGUCUUAACCGGGCGUUAAGUUGCAGGGUAUAGACCCGAAACCCGGUGAUCUAGCCAUGGGCAGGUUGAAGGUUGGGUAACACUAACUGGAGGACCGAACCGACUAAUGUUGAAAAAUUAGCGGAUGACCUGUGGCUGGGGGUGAAAGGCCAAUCAAACCGGGAGAUAGCUGGUUCUCCCCGAAAGCUAUUUAGGUAGCGCCUCGUGAACUCAUCUCCGGGGGUAGAGCACUGUUUCGGCUAGGGGGCCAUCCCGGCUUACCAACCCGAUGCAAACUGCGAAUACCGGAGAAUGUUAUCACGGGAGACACACGGCGGGUGCUAACGUCCGUCGUGAAGAGGGAAACAACCCAGACCGCCAGCUAAGGUCCCAAAGUCAUGGUUAAGUGGGAAACGAUGUGGGAAGGCCCAGACAGCCAGGAUGUUGGCUUAGAAGCAGCCAUCAUUUAAAGAAAGCGUAAUAGCUCACUGGUCGAGUCGGCCUGCGCGGAAGAUGUAACGGGGCUAAACCAUGCACCGAAGCUGCGGCAGCGAACGUAUCACUUAAAGCGAUUCAGCGGGUUACGAUUGACGGAGCGAAGCGACGUCAAAGCGUAUACAAAGUCGAGUCGGUUUAAGGAUACGUUCGUUGGGUAGGGGAGCGUUCUGUAAGCCUGUGAAGGUGGCCUGUGAGGGUUGCUGGAGGUAUCAGAAGUGCGAAUGCUGACAUAAGUAACGAUAAAGCGGGUGAAAAGCCCGCUCGCCGGAAGACCAAGGGUUCCUGUCCAACGUUAAUCGGGGCAGGGUGAGUCGACCCCUAAGGCGAGGCCGAAAGGCGUAGUCGAUGGGAAACGGGUUAAUAUUCCCGUACUUGGUGUUACUGCGAAGGGGGGACGGAGAAGGCUAUGUUGGCCGGGCGACGGUUGUCCCGGUUUAAGCGUGUAGGUGUGUGUUCCAGGUAAAUCCGGUUCACUUUAACACUGAGGCGUGACGACGAGGCACUACGGUGCUGAAGCAACAAAUGCCCUGCUUCCAGGAAAAGCCUCUAAGCAUCAGGUAACAUCAAAUCGUACCCCAAACC